This 382-nucleotide ribosomal RNA is filed under the name uncultured eukaryote. RNAcentral's name for it is "partial 18S ribosomal RNA". It matches the Rfam family "Eukaryotic small subunit ribosomal RNA", at positions 592 to 976 of the family's 1831-position model. The record is from RNAcentral.
CAAUAGCGUAUAUUAAAGUUGUUGCAGUUAAAAAGCUCGUAGUUGGAUUUCUGGUUGAAGCGACCGGUCGGGCGUUGAUUCGUCUGCACUGGAGUCGGUUUUGGCCAUCCUCUAGGAAAGUGCGUCUGGUAUUAAGUUAUCGGGCGUAUGAUCCUGGUCUUUUACUGUGAAAAAAUUAGAGCGUUUAAAGCAGGCCUUCGCCUUGAAUACAUUAGCAUGGAAUAAUAAGAUAGGACUUUGGUCUAUUUUGUUGGUUUGCAGACCGAAGUAAUGAUUAAUAGGGAUAGUUGGGGGUAUUUAUAUUCCGAUGUCAGAGGUGAAAUUCUUAGAUUUUCGGAAGAUAAACUUAUGCGAAAGCAUUUACCAAGGAUGUUUUCAUUAA